UCAAACCACACCCAGAAACCUUCCCCAG
This 28-nucleotide non-coding RNA is filed under the name Mus musculus (house mouse). The record is from RNAcentral. Lineage: Eukaryota; Metazoa; Chordata; Mammalia; Rodentia; Muridae.